UAGACUGACUGCAGCUGUAGGUGAACUAGUGUACUCUUUUAGCAUACUGCUGAGUAUGUUAGUAUGGUGAUGAAUGAGUGCUAGAGGCGGACGAGGCCACACUGGAAACGGUGUCGGAUGUCAGUGCGCGUCUCGCGGUGCUGCUGUAAGCUCCAGCGGUAGGGAAGUGAGAAACACUUCCUACUUCCUCACGCACCGCUGUUCAAUCGCUGAGCUCAGAGGGCCGAAGGCGGAAAAAGUAAGGUAGUUCUGAACAACGACGCGGACAACUUUUAAGUCUCACACAGGCUCACAUUUGAGGAAAAAAGGCAGCGGGGAAUGAACGAGGAGGAGAGCAGUGCGGGUUGAAGCUAGCCGAGAUGGCUGCGCGCGUGCGGAGCGGAGCUGAGUGACGAGGCGACUUCACACAUACACACAUACAUACACACACACACACACACACACACCGGGCCUCGCAACUUCUGAAAGUUGAACAACAAGGCGUCGAGAUGAAGAAGCAGUUUAAUCGUAUGAAACAGCUCGCCAACCAGACGGUUGGAAGAGCAGAGAAAACAGAAGUCCUUAGUGAUGACCUUCUACAGAUCGAGCGGCGCAUGGAGAUUGUGCGGUUGGUCUCGCAUAACACGCACAAGAAGUUGGUGUCAUGUCUGCAGGGCCAUGUUGGAGCAGACGUGGAAAAGAGACACAAAAAGCUGCCUCUGAUGGGCCUCUCUCAGGCCAUGGUGGAUGGAGCGGGUCAGUUAGGAGAAGAUUGCAUGAUUGGGAAGAUGAUUGAGGUGUGUGGAGAAGCUGAAAGUAAGCUUGCCCUUGAGCAGAGCCAGCAUGAAGUCCAGCUUGAGAAGGAAGUCCUGGACCCACUCAACCAGCUAGCAGAAGUUGAUAUUCCCAAUAUUAUGAAACAGAGAAAGCAACUAGCCAAACUUGUACUGGAUUAUGAUUCUGCAAGAGCGAGAUAUCUGCAGGCCACUAAAGCAAUUCUCACGGCCACAAACAACCAGGCAAUGACUGCCAAAGCUGACUCAUGUAAAGAGGAGAUGGAUGAAGCUCACAACAAAGUAGAGAUAUGUAAGGAUCAGCUGGCUGCUGACAUGUACAACUUCUCCUCCAAGGAGGGAGAAUAUGCCCGUUAUUACGUCAUGUUGUUAGAGGCCCAAGCUGAAUACCACAGAAGAUCACUGGCUUCCAUUGAAAGCGUCCUGCCCGCUAUCAGAUCACAGGAAGAAACGUGGAUGGAGAAGCCAGCGUUUGGCACAGCACUUGAGGAGCACCUUAAGCGCAGUAACAGGGAGAUUGCUCUGCCUAUAGAGGCCUGUGUCAUGAUGCUGUUGGAAACAGGCAUGAAAGAGGAGGGAUUGUUUCGUAUUGCUGCAGGAGCUUCAAAACUAAAGAAGCUCAAAGCGGCACUGGAUUGUUCAACCUCUCAACUGGAGGAGUUUUACUCUGACCCCCAUGCUGUAGCUGGAGCCCUGAAGUCAUACCUGAGGGAGCUGCCUGAACCGCUGAUGACGUUCCAGCAUUAUGAUGACUGGAUUCAAGCCUCAAAUGUUUCUGAUCCAGAUAAGAGACUGCAGGCAUUGUGGGUAACGUGUGACAAUUUGCCAAAGGCCAACAAGGCUAACCUGAAAUAUUUGGUGAAGUUCCUUGCUAAGCUAGCUCAGGAGAGUGAGGUCAAUAAAAUGACCCCAAGCAACAUUGCCAUUGUACUGGGACCAAACCUGCUGUGGGCCAAAACUGAAGGGACUCUUGCUGAAAUGGCAGCUGCUACCUCAGUUCAUGUGGUGGCUAUAAUUGAGCCUAUCAUCCAACAUGCAGACUGGUUUUUCCCAGAAGAUUUGGAAUUCAAUGUGUCAGGCAUGUUUGUGAUGCCCACUGGCCCCGUGCACCAGCCUGGGUACCCUGCUACCCCCGAGCCUGAAUAUGCUACUAUAGAGCGGAGACGCCCGGGCAGCCAGGGGGCAUUGGAGAUCGAGACUCCACGCAAAGACAGCCCCACUAGCAAACAUCCGGAGCAUACACCUCGUAGAACUGGCACUCUAAAUAGAAAGCAGCAGCAGCAGCAGCACACCUCUCCAGCCUUCCAGCCCCCUCUUCCUCCGGUGGAGGCAGGGGGGGUCCCAGCGUCCGAGGCCCCCUCUCAGUCAGCUGUAGGGGGCUCGGAGGCUGGAGCUAUAAUGGCUCAGAACCAGCAGCCUAUAAACCAGCAGCAAUCUGCUGAAGAGAACAGUAGUGUUGUACGAGAGCCAGCCUCAACACCUCCACCCCUGAGAAAUGGCCCUGGAGGCCCCAGUGGAACACCUGGGCAGCUGACAGUGGUGACGCCAGCAUCUACUUCCAAGGGCCCCAGUCCACACUUGGUGCGCAGAGGUACAAAGAAACAGGCCCCUGCACCACCUAAAGUGGCUCCCAACUCCUCUUCCUCUGCAACUACGCCCCUUAAAGCCACACCCUUCUCUGCACAGGCCCAAAACCAAAACCCAGCCACGAGUCCCGCCCAGCCUGUAACCCUACCUCGCCGCCAAUCCAGUAGCCAGAUGCCCAUUCACGCUCCAAGUCACCCUCCUCCUCAGCCUCCACAGAACUCCACAGACCCAGAGCCAUCCCCUCCCCAUAGCCCCACUCUUCCUGACAUGCCCCCACAUGACUCCACCCACUCUGCUUCUUUGUACCGCCCUCGGCCAGUUCCCAGACCACGGCCCAGACCCAGUGUACCACCGCCACCCCAGCCUCCCAGCGAGAGCUCUAAUGGAGUAUGCAACUCUGCCUCCAAGAUCAUUACAGGUUGAGGAUCUUAUCCUGGGCAAGAUGUGUGACCUCCUGCCUGUGAACUAAGAGUUGAAUUGCAGGCUAUGAUGUGACAUUGAAGGGGUCUGGGCGGCUCCUUGUCCCGCAUAUAGCUGUGGAACAGCCUGUGACUACGCCCCCUGAUGCUGAGACCCAAUCAGAGAGUACCAUCUUUUGAAGAGGAGAUGAAACCCCUCCCUCCUUCUCCUCCUCCUCAUGCAGCCAAUCGCUCCUGUUAAUGCUGUUUUGAGGCAGAGCGAUGCUCUGUAGACAAUCCUGGCACUCCAGGGUCUUCUAGGCACCGACGGAACUUUUUAAAUGUGGUUACUUUUUCAACAUUGCUGACAAAUUGAAGCUUGAGGUAAGCGAUAAACAUGCGCUGUACUGUACCAUUAUCACAUAAACUGUACCCCCUCUCUCGUGCCAGAAUGAUUCCAGUUGCUUAGGCUUUAACUUCACAUAUGUUUAUUUUUUGUGUUUUGUAUUGUAAACUACAUACAUGCAUAUUAUUACUUGUGCCUUCAAGAGUGUUUUACUGCACAUAAUUGCAAAGGAACAGCAAAGACAAAGCAAACCAAGCUUUAUGUAAAUUAAGUUCUCAUUCACACACAGUCACACACCCAGUUCUGUGUGCGCUGCCUUGUUAUGUGUGUUAUCAUACUGUCUUGUUCCUGACAGCCAUCUUUAUUUUAAACUCGGUUACUAAGAGUGCAGGAUUUCAUUUUGAGUAGCUGAGAGAUAAUGGAGCGAUUUUCAGAGAGACCAAAGACCUGUUAUAGGAAAUGUAUAAUAGUGAAAAACUUGAUUUUAAAAGAAUACAUAUGGAAAAGCAUUGUAUGGCUAAAUAUUGAAAUAUUGAUUUUUGAGAACUUUUAUUCCUGUGGUGCAAUGUUGAUUGCAGUUUAGACCUUCUUUCAUUUUUUUCUUUUUUUUUUUCUUCUUACAAAUGAGACAAUCACUGUAUCAAUAUUUUAAAGUAAACGAGUGAAAUUGUGAAGUAGCACAGGGUUUGAUCAAAUGGACCAAAUAGUACAGCAAUAAAACCAUCUCACAUAUCUGUUAAACAUCAUUCAAAUAAGUGGAUAUCUACAUGGUGUUUCAACAGUCAUUUGGACCAUCUGUAUGCAUUGUUUUUCAACAAGUACAACAAGUCCAGAUGGCUAUUUUUCUCUUGAGUGUGCUGUUGGGGUAAAAUUGUUUAGAUGUUUUAAGAAGGAAAUGCUACAAUGACAUUGAUGUCUUCUGAAAAGGACCAAAUAUUAAAUUCCCAGAAAAGCUGGACUGAAAAUAUCUCAUUUGAUUUGAUCUAGUUGAAUUUUUUUUUUUUGUCUUUUUUGCAUGGUUUGCUUGUAAUUUUGGUUAUUUUUGUUAUAAGAAUGACAGUCCAACAAAAAAUGGGGGUGAAUAGUUGAUAGUUCAGUUACACUCAGGAAAUAGCAACUAAGAAAAGAAAGUCAUAAAUCCAUUUAAUUUCUGACAGAUCUUUUUAUUUUAUUAUUUUUAUUUUUUUUUUUUUAAAUUUUGCAACAGGCUACUUUUAAAUGAUUUAAAGGCUUGUAAAUGUUGAUUUGUAUUUUUUGUUAAACUGUUUUUUGUUCCCUUGAUACUGUGUGCACCUUUUCUGCAGCUGAGUUGGUUCUGCGCAUCUCUCAAAGCAAAGAUACUCCAGUGUUGUACUGAUUACUGCUGUAUUUCCUACACAGCAAGUUCAAUGACCUACAAUUACCUAAUAAAAUGCCAGGCAAUAAGAAAAAAUAAAUUCUGUUCCAAAUGGA
RNA transcript from Ictalurus punctatus (channel catfish), 4556 nucleotides. It is a transcript of the gene named Rho GTPase activating protein 17b, with no coding region annotated. NCBI's taxonomy places the organism in Eukaryota, Metazoa, Chordata, Actinopteri, Siluriformes, Ictaluridae. The record is from RefSeq and is a predicted model, not a curated record. The transcript has 22 exons.